RNAcentral lists this ribosomal RNA (1372 nucleotides) under uncultured bacterium. RNAcentral's name for it is "bacterial SSU rRNA". It matches the Rfam family "Bacterial small subunit ribosomal RNA", at positions 28 to 1381 of the family's 1533-position model. The record is from RNAcentral.
GAUGAACGCUGGCGGCGUGCCUAAUACAUGCAAGUCGAGCGAACGGACGAGAAGCUUGCUUCUCUGAUGUUAGCGGCGGACGGGUGAGUAACACGUGGAUAACCUACCUAUAAGACUGGGAUAACUUCGGGAAACCGGAGCUAAUACCGGAUAAUAUUUUGAACCGCAUGGUUCAAAAGUGAAAGACGGUCUUGCUGUCGCUUAUAGAUGGAUCCGCGCUGCAUUAGCUAGUUGGUAAGGUAACGGCUUACCAAGGCAACGAUGCAUAGCCGACCUGAGAGGGUGAUCGGCCACACUGGAACUGAGACACGGUCCAGACUCCUACGGGAGGCAGCAGUAGGGAAUCUUCCGCAAUGGGCGAAAGCCUGACGGAGCAACGCCGCGUGAGUGAUGAAGGUCUUCGGAUCGUAAAACUCUGUUAUUAGGGAAGAACAUAUGUGUAAGUAACUGUGCACAUCUUGACGGUACCUAAUCAGAAAGCCACGGCUAACUACGUGCCAGCAGCCGCGGUAAUACGUAGGUGGCAAGCGUUAUCCGGAAUUAUUGGGCGUAAAGCGCGCGUAGGCGGUUUUUUAAGUCUGAUGUGAAAGCCCACGGCUCAACCGUGGAGGGUCAUUGGAAACUGGAAAACUUGAGUGCAGAAGAGGAAAGUGGAAUUCCAUGUGUAGCGGUGAAAUGCGCAGAGAUAUGGAGGAACACCAGUGGCGAAGGCGACUUUCUGGUCUGUAACUGACGCUGAUGUGCGAAAGCGUGGGGAUCAAACAGGAUUAGAUACCCUGGUAGUCCACGCCGUAAACGAUGAGUGCUAAGUGUUAGGGGGUUUCCGCCCCUUAGUGCUGCAGCUAACGCAUUAAGCACUCCGCCUGGGGAGUACGACCGCAAGGUUGAAACUCAAAGGAAUUGACGGGGACCCGCACAAGCGGUGGAGCAUGUGGUUUAAUUCGAAGCAACGCGAAGAACCUUACCAAAUCUUGACAUCCUUUGACAACUCUAGAGAUAGAGCUUUCCCCUUCGGGGGACAAAGUGACAGGUGGUGCAUGGUUGUCGUCAGCUCGUGUCGUGAGAUGUUGGGUUAAGUCCCGCAACGAGCGCAACCCUUAAGCUUAGUUGCCAUCAUUAAGUUGGGCACUCUAAGUUGACUGCCGGUGACAAACCGGAGGAAGGUGGGGAUGACGUCAAAUCAUCAUGCCCCUUAUGAUUUGGGCUACACACGUGCUACAAUGGACAAUACAAAGGGCAGCGAAACCGCGAGGUCAAGCAAAUCCCAUAAAGUUGUUCUCAGUUCGGAUUGUAGUCUGCAACUCGACUACAUGAAGCUGGAAUCGCUAGUAAUCGUAGAUCAGCAUGCUACGGUGAAUACGUUCCCGGGUCU